CUUCUAUCGUCGUGGUAUCGAUGCUUAUACUUUUCUGUAUUGUUUCAGGUAAUGAACGUGUGUUUUCUCCAGACUCUGAAUCAAUCACUUGGUUUGUCCUUAUCUAUUGAAUAGCUGAGAUGAUUACCUGUGUGAUUGAACUACUCUUCUGGUGCUGUCUGUAUAUUGGUCUGUCCUUAUCUAAUGAAUAGCUGAGAUGAUUUCCUGUUUGAUUGAACUUCUCUU
Long non-coding RNA from Nilaparvata lugens (brown planthopper), 225 nucleotides. RefSeq lists it as uncharacterized. The record is from RefSeq and is a predicted model, not a curated record. The transcript has 3 exons. NCBI's taxonomy places the organism in Eukaryota, Metazoa, Arthropoda, Insecta, Hemiptera, Delphacidae.